This 134-nucleotide small RNA is filed under the name Nothoprocta perdicaria. RNAcentral describes it as "TUC338 (ENSNPEG00000004310.1)". The record is from RNAcentral. Lineage: Eukaryota; Metazoa; Chordata; Aves; Tinamiformes; Tinamidae.
UUGACAGCACUAGAAAAUGAAGAUUUCUAUUUGUCCACAGCCCAGGAACAGCCAGCUGAGGUAUCUUCAGACCUGUUUGGSCAGCACUGCGUGAGGCCAGGCAGGGCCUCCUUGCCCAUCCAUCCUUGGCACAG